GUUGUGCCUGAGUCGCAAUGUGAAACACCACUCUUUGUUAAUUAGGAUUCUAACCCUGAUUCCUGUUAGCCAGGCGGGGGACAGUGCGUGCGGGUCAGUUUGACUGGGGCGGUUUCCUCCCAAAUUGUAACGGAGGAGCGCUAAGCUUGGCUCAGUACGGUUGGCAACCGUGCGUCGAGCGUAUGGGUAGAAGCCAGGUUAACUGCGAGACCUACAAGUCGAGCAGAUGCGAAAGCAGGCCCAAAUGAUCCGAUGGUUGAAUGUGGAAUUGCCAUCGCUCAACGGACAAAAGGUACGCUAGGGAU
RNAcentral lists this ribosomal RNA (305 nucleotides) under Climacostomum virens. Its description in RNAcentral is "partial Bacterial large subunit ribosomal RNA". It matches the Rfam family "Bacterial large subunit ribosomal RNA", at positions 2174 to 2475 of the family's 2925-position model. The record is from RNAcentral. Lineage: Eukaryota; Ciliophora; Heterotrichea; Heterotrichida; Climacostomidae.